This 435-nucleotide ribosomal RNA is filed under the name uncultured bacterium. Its description in RNAcentral is "partial 16S ribosomal RNA". It matches the Rfam family "Bacterial small subunit ribosomal RNA", at positions 29 to 507 of the family's 1533-position model. The record is from RNAcentral.
AGCGAACGCUGGCGGCAGGCUUAACACAUGCAAGUCGAGCAGGCAUAGCAAUAUGUCCGCGGCAGACGGGUGAGUAACGCGUGGGAACGUACCUUUUGGUUCGGAACAACUGAGGAAAACUUCAGCUAAUACCGGAUAAGCCCUUACGGGGAAAGAUUUAUCGCCGAAAGAUCGGCCCGCGUCUGAUUAGCUAGUUGGUGAGGUAAUGGCUCACCAAGGCGACGAUCAGUAGCUGGUCUGAGAGGAUGAUCAGCCACAUUGGGACUGAGACACGGCCCAAACUCCUACGGGAGGCAGCAGUGGGGAAUAUUGGACAAUGGGCGCAAGCCUGAUCCAGCCAUGCCGCGUGAGUGAUGAAGGCCCUAGGGUUGUAAAGCUCUUUUGUGCGGGAAGAUAAUGACGGUACCGCAAGAAUAAGCCCCGGCUAACUUCGUG